This 585-nucleotide ribosomal RNA is filed under the name uncultured bacterium. RNAcentral describes it as "partial 16S ribosomal RNA". It matches the Rfam family "Bacterial small subunit ribosomal RNA", at positions 355 to 1375 of the family's 1533-position model. The record is from RNAcentral.
UGGGGAAUUUUGGACAAUGGGCGAAAGCCUGAUCCAGCAAUGCCGCGUGUGUGAAGAAGGCCUUCGGGUUGUAAAGCACUUUUGUCCGGAAAGAAAUCCUUGGCUCUAAUACAGUCGGGGGAUGACGGUACCGGAAGAAUAAGCACCGGCUAACUACGUGCCAGCAGCCGCGGUAAUACGUAGGGUGCAAGCGUUAAUCGGAAUUACUGGGCGUAAAGCGUGCGCAGGCGGUUUGCUAAGACCGAUGUGAAAUCCCCGGGCUCAACCUGGGAACUGCAUUGGUGACUGGCAGGCUAGAGUAUGGCAGAGAGGGGUAGAAUUCCACGUGUAGCAGUGAAAUGCGUAGAGAUGUGGAGGAAUACCGAUGGCGAAGGCAGCCCCCUGGGCCAAUACUGACGCUCAUGCACGAAAGCGUGGGGAGCAAACAGGAUUAGAUACCCUGGUAGUCCACGCCCUAAACGAUGUCAACUAGUUGUUGGGGAUUCAUUUCCUUAGUAACGUAGCUAACGCGUGAAGUUGACCGCCUGGGGAGUACGGUCGCAAGAUUAAAACUCAAAGGAAUUGACGGGGUCAUAGCUGUUUCCU